Molecule: ribosomal RNA, 233 nt
Filed under: uncultured bacterium
Lineage: Bacteria
Description: partial 16S ribosomal RNA
Rfam family: Bacterial small subunit ribosomal RNA
Source: RNAcentral
UGAGCAAUCUGCCCUUCUCUUUGGAAUAAGCGUUGGAAACGACGUCUAAUGCCGAAUACGACCUCCUUUCGCAUGAUCGGAGGUGGAAAGCUCCGGCGGAGAAGGAUGAGCUCGCGGCCUAUCAGCUAGUUGGUGUGGGUAAUGGCCCACCAAGGCGACGACGAGUAGCCGGCCUGAGAGGGUGACCGGCCACACUGGGACUGAGACACGGCCCAGACUCCGUACGGGAGCAG